UUAUCUUCUUGAGAAGUCAUGAUCUCUUUGGUCGGCAGCAAGAGUGGAGGGAACUGUUUGUGCAGCCGCAGGAGCCAAAGUCCCCCUUAGAGGAGCUAGAGUUAGGGUCGGGCUGCGAUAGGUAGCGCGGCGACUGGUCCCGAGGAGUAACCAACUUAUCAGGUCGCUGGGGCAGUGACGAGGCUUGAGUCUGCCUUGCUCCUGUGAGACAUUCGUACGCGCUGUUACAGCCCUGCAGCCGGUUCCUCUGCCUGGAAUGAGCCCUUCAUUUCCCGGGUCCGCUCAGGGGAAAGGUGGUGAAAUCCUCAAAUCUGCUUCCUUAUGUGGUUAAUAAAAGAUCUCAAGCAGAGCCUGGGGGGGGGGAAAAUUAUAAGUGCAAGUGAGUGCUUUGCGUGUUUUAACGUUUAAAAUCUCGACUCCGGUGAAUCAUUGAAUCAUAUAUUGCAAGUUUCAGUGUCUAACCAAGUUUGGGGGACGCCUAUUACUCAUGCUGAUAAAAUCUCUGCACUGCGCUCCCCAAAUUUGCCUCUCUCAAACGGAAAGCUGGGCCGAGCGGGGGUGGGGAGGGUCUCCAGUCCGAGACGCUGCGCUCGGGGCUUCUGCCCAGUUUCCUGCCUCAGAGUCGCCGCGUCCGCCCCAGCCCAGAGCAGUUUGUGCAAUUUAGAAACUCGAUAGGAGGCAGCAGCUGAUCUCCCACCACCCUAAAAAUAAUCCGCUCCGGCGCCCUGCGUCCUUCGGCUAGGGGAGGAAAUCUCUGCCUUCGGAGUAAGGAUUCUGCUUCUCGGUUUGAAGUGUACACGUAACACGUAGGAAGCCGGUGUUUUGAAGGUAGUGCAAGUGCACCAAGUAGGGGUUUGAAGCAGCUGCAAGCGAUUGCCCAAGG
Molecule: long non-coding RNA, 883 nt
Organism: Hipposideros armiger (great roundleaf bat)
Lineage: Eukaryota; Metazoa; Chordata; Mammalia; Chiroptera; Hipposideridae
Exons: 2
Source: RefSeq, a predicted model, not a curated record